AUCAGGGAUCUUUCUCAUCGAUCAAGUUGAGAGAGAGAGAGGGGGGGAGCGGGUGGGAGAUCUGCGAAACCAAAACCUAGCAUGGAGCGCCUCUCGGAGAGAGAGAGACCAAGCAAGCGUGCCAGAGAGGAUCUUGACCACCGCGAUCGGGACCACAAGCACCGAUCCUCCAAGGACGAGAAGCGCCGCGAGUCUGAUCACCACCACCGUCACCGAUCUCGGCUUGGUCACUCUCACAACGAGCGCGAAGGUAGCAGAGACCGGGAUUCGAAGCUUGAGCGUUCUUACGACGACGAGAGGGAAAGGGAAGGGAGCAGAGAGAGAGACCGUCCUAAGCAUCGCGGAGUGAAACGCGGGCUGUUGGAUGCCGAUGACGAGGAUCUUCGCGAGGGAUCUGACGAGGGGGAGGGUUCGUUGGAGAGGCGCCACUCGCAUUCGCACAAGCGGAAGGAGAGAGGAGUAAGCGAAGAGAGGAGUGAUGGUGGCGAGAAGAAGGCUAGGGUUUCGGGGAGAAGGCGGUUUGAGGACAGGGACGAAUUAGAUGGAGAAGAGAGGAAGGAAAGGAAUGACAGGAGGCUUGAGGAUAGAGUGGAAAAAGAAGAGGGGGAUGAAAAUGAUAGCGAUUUUGAAUACAGGAAGCGAGUGGAUGGGAGUGAAUUGAAGGUUCGGGUGAAGGAAGAGGUGAGUGACGAAGAGCAUCUCUGUAAGCCCCGGAGCGCCAACACCGCGAAUGCUAAUGGUUUAUCGGGAAAUGGUGCUGCUCUGGAAUCACUCACCAUGGAGUCCAGGAGUGUGCCUGAGUCCUAUUUCCCCCCUAGUCAUCACAUUCCUACAAAGGUAUCUUCAAUUUCUACCACAAAUGAAAAUAAGGGAGUUAUUAUUACCAGAUCUCAUGAGGUUCCUGGAAAAUCUAGUACAGAUGGGACAUCUUCAGCUGCUGGAAAAAGUGGAAGUCUAUCUCUUGAUGCUUUAGCUAAAGCUAAGAAAGCUUUACAAAUGCAAAAAGAUUUGUCAGAGAAGCUGAAGAAGAUUCCCUUUUUGAACAAGGGUUCUAGCUCAAUUCCAGAUGGUAGCUUACGCUUGGAAUUGAAGGAGGGACUGAAAGCACCAUCUGUCAUUAGUGGAACAGGGCAAGGGCCAAAUGUUUUGACUGCCCCUACCAAUGUUUCAGAGGGGAUGACAUCUACUUCAUUGACCUUACCUUCUGCAUCUGCUGCAGCUUUUGUGAAGCCACCAGUCACUGGUCCUAGUGCUUCUGCAGGCCUCACGACUCUACCCAAUAUUGAGGCAGUAAAACGUGCACAGGAACUUGCUGCCAGGAUGGGGUUUCGUCAGGACCCGGAGUUUGCUCCUCUCAUAAACCUAUUUCCAGGUCAGACGGCGGCAACAGAGUUCGUUGUUCCGCAGAAGCCAACCAAGGCCCCUGUUCUUCGUCUUGAUGCACUUGGUAGAGAGAUAGAUGAACAUGGAAAUGUGGUGAAUGUGACAAAACCAAGCAACCUCAGCACUUUAAAGGUCAACAUUAACAAACAGAAAAAGGAAGCUUUUCAGAUUCUUAGACCUGAAUUGGAUGUUGAUCCAGAGACAAAUCCUCAUUUUGAUGAAAGGAUGGGUAUUGACAAAACUAAGCUUCUAAGGCCUAAGAGGAUGACUUUCCAGUUUGUUGAAGAAGGCAAGUGGUCAAAAGAGGCCGAGCAUAUUAAAUUGAAGAGUAAAUUUGGAGAAGCACAGGCGAAAGAGCAGAAAGCAAAACAGGCACAGUUGGCUAAGGCAAAGGCAGCACCUGAUAUUAAUCCAAAUCUGAUUGAGGUAGCAGAGAGAAUUAUCAUCAAAGAAAAACCUAAGGACACGAUUCCUGAAAUCGAGUGGUGGGAUGCGACUCUUUUGCAAGCUGGUGCUUAUGGUGACAUAGUAGAUGGAACCAUGGUAGAAGAUAAACUGAAGAAGGAGAAGAUCACUAUCUAUGUACAACACCCACGUCCGAUUGAGCCCCCGGCUGAGCCAGCUCCUACACCACCUCAACCCUUGAAGUUAACCAAGAAGGAGCAGAAGAAACUUCGUACUCAGCGACGGCUGGCUAGGGAGAAAGAUAAGCAAGAGAUGAUUAGGCAAGGCCUGAUUGAGCCUCCAAAGCCAAAAGUUAAAAUGAGCAAUUUGAUGAAAGUUCUUGGUUCUGAAGCGACCCAAGAUCCAACUAGGCUUGAAAAGGAAAUCAGGAGUGCAGCUGCUGAACGGGAGCAAGCUCACAUUGACAGGAAUAUUGCUCGCAAACUCACUCCUGCUGAGCGCCGUGAAAAGAAAGAGCGGAAGCUUUUUGAUGAGCCAAAUACAGUGGAGACCAAUGUAUCAGUUUACCGGAUCAAUGACCUGUCACACGUACAGACCCGCUUCAAAAUUGAUGUUAAUGCCCAAGAGAACCGCCUGACUGGAUGUGCUGUGAUCUCUGAUGGUAUUACUGUUGUGGUUGUUGAAGGUGGAAACAAGUCCAUAAAGAGGUAUGGAAAGCUCAUGCUUAGGCGCAUAAACUGGGCUACUGCUGUAAAAGAGGAGGAUGAAGAUGGUGAUGAUAAACCUGCUAAGAGGUGUGUCUUAGUCUGGCAAGGAAGUGUUGCCAAAUCGAGUUUCAACAGAUUUACUGUUCACGAGUGUAUGACUGAAGCUGCUGCACGGAAGAUCUUUGCCGAUGCUGGUGUUGCUCAUUACUGGGAGCUAGCCAUUAACUUUUCAGACGAUCAAACAUAGUUGGAGACGCUGCAUUGGGGGGAGUAUUUUCGAUUCACUUUGGAUUUUUCUUUUCAGCUUGAGCUGCUUUGUCAAUCAACCUGUUGCCUCACGCACGUCUGUCUUGGCCAGAGCGGACCGAGAAGGAGAAGAAAGCCGGCAAAUCCAAAAACGCUAGGCCUUCUCAUCCAGGUGGGGAAUAUACCUGCUGCCUGUGACCCUGAUUAUCAUCCAAAAAAGGUUAUCGACUUUGUUGUUGAUGGCUAUAGUUCGGAUGAUUAAUAUAUAUUUUGUAAGUAAAACAUGAGACUUGAGAGGGCGAGUAAUAAUUUGGCCCCAAUGUGGAUCCUCCAACUAAUAAAAUUCAAUUAUUAUAGACUA
Carya illinoinensis is the source of this 3102-nucleotide RNA transcript. It is a transcript of the gene named protein RDM16-like, with no coding region annotated. The record is from RefSeq and is a predicted model, not a curated record. NCBI's taxonomy places the organism in Eukaryota, Viridiplantae, Streptophyta, Magnoliopsida, Fagales, Juglandaceae. The transcript is spliced from 7 exons.